AGAGUUUGAUCAUGGCUCAGAGCGAACGCUGGCGGCAGGCCUAACACAUGCAAGUCGAGCGCCGUAGCAAUACGGAGCGGCAGACGGGAGAGUAACACGUGGGAACGUGCCCUUCAGUUCGGAACAACCCAGGGAAACUUGGGCUAAUACCGGAUACGUCCGAAAGGAGAAAGAUUUAUCGCUGAAGGAUCGGCCCGCGUCUGAUUAGCUAGUUGGUGAGGUAACGGCUCACCAAGGCGACGAUCAGUAGCUGGCCUGAGAGGAUGAUCAGCCUCACUGGGACUGAGACACGGCCCAGACUCCUACGGGAGGCAGCAGUGGGGAAUAUUGGACAAUGGGCGCAAGCCUGAUCCAGCCAUGCCGCGUGGAUGAUGAAGGCCCUAGGGUUGUAAAGUCCUUUCGGCGGGGAAGAUAAUGACGGUACCCGCAGAAGAAGCCCCGGCUAACUUCGUGCCAGCAGCCGCGGUAAUACGAAGGGGGCUAGCGUUGCUCGGAAUCACUGGGCGUAAAGCGCACGUAGGCGGCUUUUUAAGUCAGGGGUGAAAUCCUGGAGCUCAACUCCAGAACUGCCUUUGAUACUGAGAAGCUUGAGUCCGGGAGAGGUGAGUGGAACUGCGAGUGUAGAGGUGAAAUUCGUAGAUAUUCGCAAGAACACCAGUGGCGAAGGCGGCUCACUGGCCCGGUACUGACGCUGAGGUGCGAAAGCGUGGGGAGCAAACAGGAUUAGAUACCCUAGUAGUCC
RNAcentral lists this ribosomal RNA (742 nucleotides) under uncultured bacterium. Its description in RNAcentral is "bacterial SSU rRNA". It matches the Rfam family "Bacterial small subunit ribosomal RNA", at positions 8 to 796 of the family's 1533-position model. The record is from RNAcentral.